RNAcentral lists this ribosomal RNA (253 nucleotides) under uncultured bacterium. Its description in RNAcentral is "partial 16S ribosomal RNA". It matches the Rfam family "Bacterial small subunit ribosomal RNA", at positions 524 to 776 of the family's 1533-position model. The record is from RNAcentral.
UACGUAGGGUGCAAGCGUUGUCCGGAAUUAUUGGGCCUAAAGCAUCCGUAGCCGGUCCUGCAAGUCUUCCGUUAAAUCCAGCUGCUCAACAGAUGGGCUGCGGGAGAUACUACAGGGCUAGGAGGCGGGAGAGGCAAGCGGUACUUUAUGGGUAGGGGUAAAAUCCGCUGAUCCAUAGAAGACCACCAGUGGCGAAGGCGGCUUGCCAGAACGCGCUCGACGGUGAGGGAUGAAAGCUGGGGGAGCAAACCGG